UUUAAGUUAUUAGGAACACAUAUCCAACGUUUGGCCAUCCGUCUUAUUUGAAAAUUUUUAAAAAAUUAGUCACUCAUAAAUUACUAUUUAUAUUUUAUCAUCUAAUAAUAAUAAAAAUACUAGUCUUUCUUUUUUCAAAUAAGACGGACGAUCAAACGUUGAACAUGAAAACCCAAAACUACACUUAUU
This is a non-coding RNA of Oryza barthii, 189 nucleotides long. The record is from Rfam. Lineage: Eukaryota; Viridiplantae; Streptophyta; Magnoliopsida; Poales; Poaceae.